This 90-nucleotide transfer RNA is filed under the name Gammaproteobacteria bacterium. Its description in RNAcentral is "tRNA-Ser". It matches the Rfam family "tRNA". Rfam says of the family: Transfer RNA (tRNA) molecules are approximately 80 nucleotides in length. Their secondary structure includes four short double-helical elements and three loops (D, anti-codon, and T loops). The record is from RNAcentral. Lineage: Bacteria; Pseudomonadati; Pseudomonadota; Gammaproteobacteria. RNAcentral also lists the same sequence under 1 other name.
GGAGGGAUGCCGGAGCGGCUAAACGGCCCUGACUCGAAAUCAGUGGAAGGCUAACGCCUUACGGGGGUUCGAAUCCCUCUCCCUCCGCCA